This 195-nucleotide ribosomal RNA is filed under the name Muribaculaceae bacterium. RNAcentral's name for it is "partial 23S ribosomal RNA". It matches the Rfam family "Bacterial large subunit ribosomal RNA", at positions 2720 to 2925 of the family's 2925-position model. The record is from RNAcentral. Lineage: Bacteria; Pseudomonadati; Bacteroidota; Bacteroidia; Bacteroidales; Muribaculaceae.
GUUGUUCCGCCAGGAGCACCGCCGGGUAGCCGCGUCGGGUAAGGAUAAGUGCUGAAAGCAUCUAAGCACGAAGCCCCCCUCAAGAUAAGAUCUCCACACAAGGGCCGUUUAAGACUAAGACGUAGAUAGGCCGCAGGUGCAGGUACGGUAACGUACACAGCCGAGCGGUACUAAUCGCCCAAACCCUUUCUUGGG